This 1350-nucleotide long non-coding RNA is filed under the name Helianthus annuus (common sunflower). RNAcentral's name for it is "hypothetical non coding rna". The record is from RNAcentral. Lineage: Eukaryota; Viridiplantae; Streptophyta; Magnoliopsida; Asterales; Asteraceae.
AAUCAAACAUUGCAAUCAUUGUUGUUCAUCGUUUAUCACUGCCACCGCUAGUCUCCAUCACCACCUCCGUUCAUCACAAUCCCCAUCGUCAUACUUCAACUGCCGUCAACCACCUCCAAGCACCAUCAACAACCAUAUCUCCGUCGUUCACUGUUCAACCUUUCGUCGCCGGUCACCAUCUCCGAUCAACUUCUUCAUCAUAAAUCUCCGGUCUUCGUCUCCGGUUAUCGUCUCCGGCCACCGCACAACCAUCACCUCCGUUCACUGCCAUAACUGCUGCAUCAUCUUCUUCUUCAUAUUAGGGUUUUUUUGUUAUUUAGGAUCUAACAAGGGGUAGUCUCUGCUACCCGGCCUAACACUUAAAAUAUAGAGUAAACUUUUUUUUGACGUUUUUUGUUUGUAUUGUGAAUUUUUGUUUAUAUUGUUCCUUUGAUCACAAAACAAGCCUCUUCUAGGGUUUUCCACCAGUUUGUUGCUGUUUUAGAGGUUUUAAGUUGUUGUUUUGUUGUAGGUUGGUGUUUGGAGAGUGAUUUUGAGUAGUGUGAUCAGUUAUGUUGGACUUUAGGAUAGUGGAUUAGGGUUUAUUGGGUGAUUUACGACAAUUUGAGCACUGAAUUUAAGUAGUGGAUUGGUUACUUUUUAAAAUGUAGUUGUACAAGCACUCAUAAACUUGGUACCAUAGCAUCGGUUUGGGGCUUCUUGAAUUUAUUUCUGUUUUUGUUGAUUACUGGUUUGGUUGGGCAUUUUUUUGUCUGUGUAAAUGUGUGAUUAUUGAAAUUGCUUCAGGUGAGGAGUAUUGAAGAGGGGUUUGAAGGCUCAUGGCAUUCAGCAACGGUGCAUUCAGCAACGGUGAAGAGGGGCUAUACGACAAAUCUGAUGGUGACCUUCUGUGACACUCAAAUGGCUGAAGUUCUACUUGCUGCAUUUCAGUUUGUGAUCUUGAGUUAAUUUGAGGUGUAGUAAAUUGAAUUUGGCUUUUUUUUCUUGUUUUUGGUGUAAAACCAUUACAAUGGUAAUUAACAGUAACUAGAUGUAAGUACCCACCGCGUUGCGGCUGGGUUCACAUCAAAACGAUACAAACAAAGCCAAAUAAAUCCAUUUAGCAAGCCCUUAUUAUAGCACCUAACCGAUGCGGCAUUGAAACCCAACCAUGGUACAAAUUUUGCAAGAAAGUAAAUCUUCAUCGAGGCGGUCAGCAACACUUAAUAGCUCAUCAUCAAUCAUCAUAGCCAUCAGCUUCAUCCCGUAAACAAACAAUAAAAAUGUAAAAAAAAAAUCAUUAAAUCAGCUUUGUAUAAAUGUAUUACCAGACAAGCUCUACCAUGUAACUAAUCAUUUCAAGCAAAUUAU